RNAcentral lists this ribosomal RNA (460 nucleotides) under uncultured bacterium. RNAcentral's name for it is "partial 16S ribosomal RNA". It matches the Rfam family "Bacterial small subunit ribosomal RNA", at positions 338 to 795 of the family's 1533-position model. The record is from RNAcentral.
CCUACGGGAGGCAGCAGUGAGGAAUAUUGGUCAAUGGGCGUAAGCCUGAACCAGCCAAGUCGCGUGAGGGAUGAAGGUUCUAUGGAUUGUAAACCUCUUUUAUAAGGGAAUAAAGUGCGGGACGUGUCCCGUUUUGUAUGUACCUUAUGAAUAAGGAUCGGCUAACUCCGUGCCAGCAGCCGCGGUAAUACGGAGGAUCCGAGCGUUAUCCGGAUUUAUUGGGUUUAAAGGGUGCGUAGGCGGCUUUUUAAGUCAGCGGUGAAAGUUUGUGGCUCAACCAUAGAAUUGCCGUUGAUACUGGGAGGCUUGAGUAUGUUUGAGGCAGGCGGAAUGCGUGGUGUAGCGGUGAAAUGCUUAGAUAUCACGCAGAACCCCGAUUGCGAAGGCAGCCUGCCAAGCCAUGACUGACGCUGAUGCACGAAAGCGUGGGGAUCAAACAGGAUUAGAUACCCUUGUAGUC